AAAUUGAAGAGUUUGAUCAUGGCUCAGAUUGAACGCUGGCGGCAGGCCUAACACAUGCAAGUCGAGCGGUAGCACAGAGAGCUUGCUCUCGGGUGACGAGCGGCGGACGGGUGAGUAAUGUCUGGGAAACUGCCUGAUGGAGGGGGAUAACUACUGGAAACGGUAGCUAAUACCGCAUAACGUCGCAAGACCAAAGUGGGGGACCUUCGGGCCUCAUGCCAUCAGAUGUGCCCAGAUGGGAUUAGCUUGUAGGUGGGGUAACGGCUCACCUAGGCGACGAUCCCUAGCUGGUCUGAGAGGAUGACCAGCCACACUGGAACUGAGACACGGUCCAGACUCCUACGGGAGGCAGCAGUGGGGAAUAUUGCACAAUGGGCGCAAGCCUGAUGCAGCCAUGCCGCGUGUGUGAAGAAGGCCUUCGGGUUGUAAAGCACUUUCAGCGGGGAGGAAGGCGUUAAGGUUAAUAACCUCAUCGAUUGACGUUACCCGCAGAAGAAGCACCGGCUAACUCCGUGCCAGCAGCCGCGGUAAUACGGAGGGUGCAAGCGUUAAUCGGAAUUACUGGGCGUAAAGCGCACGCAGGCGGUCUGUCAAGUCGGAUGUGAAAUCCCCGGGCUCAACCUGGGAACUGCAUUCGAAACUGGCAGGCUAGAGUCUUGUAGAGGGGGGUAGAAUUCCAGGUGUAGCGGUGAAAUGCGUAGAGAUCUGGAGGAAUACCGGUGGCGAAGGCGGCCCCCUGGACAAAGACUGACGCUCAGGUGCGAAAGCGUGGGGAGCAAACAGGAUUAGAUACCCUGGUAGUCCACGCCGUAAACGAUGUCGAUUUGGAGGUUGUGCCCUUGAGGCGUGGCUUCCGGAGCUAACGCGUUAAAUCGACCGCCUGGGGAGUACGGCCGCAAGGUUAAAACUCAAAUGAAUUGACGGGGGCCCGCACAAGCGGUGGAGCAUGUGGUUUAAUUCGAUGCAACGCGAAGAACCUUACCUGGUCUUGACAUCCACAGAACUUUCCAGAGAUGGAUUGGUGCCUUCGGGAACUGUGAGACAGGUGCUGCAUGGCUGUCGUCAGCUCGUGUUGUGAAAUGUUGGGUUAAGUCCCGCAACGAGCGCAACCCUUAUCCUUUGUUGCCAGCGGUCCGGCCGGGAACUCAAAGGAGACUGCCAGUGAUAAACUGGAGGAAGGUGGGGAUGACGUCAAGUCAUCAUGGCCCUUACGACCAGGGCUACACACGUGCUACAAUGGCAUAUACAAAGAGAAGCGACCUCGCGAGAGCAAGCGGACCUCAUAAAGUAUGUCGUAGUCCGGAUUGGAGUCUGCAACUCGACUCCAUGAAGUCGGAAUCGCUAGUAAUCGUAGAUCAGAAUGCUACGGUGAAUACGUUCCCGGGCCUUGUACACACCGCCCGUCACACCAUGGGAGUGGGUUGCAAAAGAAGUAGGUAGCUUAACCUUCGGGAGGGCGCUUACCACUUUGUGAUUCAUGACUGGGGUGAAGUCGUAACAAGGUAACCGUAGGGGAACCUGCGGUUGGAUCACCUCCUUACCUUAAAGAA
This 1550-nucleotide ribosomal RNA is filed under the name Klebsiella pneumoniae. RNAcentral describes it as "bacterial SSU rRNA". It matches the Rfam family "Bacterial small subunit ribosomal RNA". The record is from RNAcentral. Lineage: Bacteria; Pseudomonadati; Pseudomonadota; Gammaproteobacteria; Enterobacterales; Enterobacteriaceae.